Long non-coding RNA from Labeo rohita (rohu), 281 nucleotides. RefSeq lists it as uncharacterized. Lineage: Eukaryota; Metazoa; Chordata; Actinopteri; Cypriniformes; Cyprinidae. The transcript is spliced from 3 exons. The record is from RefSeq and is a predicted model, not a curated record.
CUCAUCUGUGUUCCUGUCUUCUCAAAAUCUGCAUUGACUCCAUUUGCACAGGAUUCAUUCAUCUCAUCUAAUCUCAUCUGAUAGUUCGUUUUAACAGCAGCUGAGAGGAUGCGGGUUCGAGUGCUGCUGAUCCUGAUACUCACAUCAGUAUUAAUCACACAUGCUCAAGGUCUUGCUCUGAUGUAUAUUCUUGAGAACAGUUUCAAAGCUGAAUCUGGAUCCAGGUCUGAUGUUCCUAAGAUUGUGAUUCUGAUCACGGAUGGGAAAUCUCAGGACGAUGU